Hippoglossus stenolepis (Pacific halibut) is the source of this 199-nucleotide small nuclear RNA. RefSeq annotates it as U2 spliceosomal RNA. NCBI's taxonomy places the organism in Eukaryota, Metazoa, Chordata, Actinopteri, Pleuronectiformes, Pleuronectidae. The transcript has a single exon. The record is from RefSeq and is a predicted model, not a curated record.
AUCGCUUCCGGCCUUUUGGCUAAGAUCAGGAAAAGUGUAGUAUCUGUUCUUAUCAGUUUAAUAUCUGAUAUGUCCUCUAUGUAAGGGGACUACAUAUUAGAAGCAGAUUUUUGGCACAUGAGGGCAGAAAUUUGGGCUUUGCUCCUUUCUCCACGCAUCGACCUAGCAUUGCAGUGCCGCUGGGGCAGGUGCACUGUUC